AUACCAUUUUUAUAAGUACUAACGUCGUAGUAGCCACAUCUUUCGCACCUUGUUUGAUUUUAUAUUUGUUGGAUUUUCCACCAUUUAUCUUAAAGGAUUUGUUGGGUUAACUUCUGUUCUUAACAGAAAGAUGGGGUUCCUAAUAAUAUUAUAUGCUCAAUCGUGUUUAUAUAAAUGUUAUAAGGUUAUUUGAAAUAUUAAGCUUGCGUAAUAUUAACAAUAAGCCGCAGAUAAAAGAUAAAAUUGAACGUUAUUCGGUCGAUAGGAUGGCGGAGGUUUAAUUUAUAUGGACUUGCCAAUUGGCGAGCCGCAAAAUAAAACUCUGCAACCCUCCCUAAACAAAAAACGAUAUCCAGGCGGCAGACAACAUUUUACAAACUUCUAAAUGCUCUGUUGAACUUCUUUGAAAGUUUUAACUCUCUUUCGGCUGUUUGGCAACCCUGUGAAAGUUCAUUAAUAUAUAUAUGGCAUUUGGCAAGAGCUGGAAACGUAGCCGCCAAGCGGAGAGGGGUUGUGGCUGUCACAUAGGCGCAGAAACUUUCACCCUGCCUGUCAGAUCCCCUCCUUUGAUAUACCAAAUUCGUUUUGUUUAUUCUAUCAAGUUUUUAAAUUAGCAGGAACACGCCCGUAAAUCUGCCAUUACCUGGGUAGCGUACAGAUCCAUAAAACUUGUUUCCCAAAGUUCAGAAAGUUGCAUAAAUGGAUUAACAGCUUGGUAACCAACUUUCCCAUUAAAACCAAUCAGUUUGGAAUCCCAUACCCAACCUGGCCAACAAGGGAUAUUUUAAAGGUGGCGUAUAACGUAAAAUGGCUUCGAUUAUCCAUAAAUUUUAUUAAUGGUGUCGCCUGUCUGCUUUCAACUAAAUUGCCCCUAUAAUUAAUACAAUCGUAACUCAGCUAGCUUUUUUGUGGUAUGGGCUGUUCUGUUUUCGGGCUACCAAAUACAACCGGUUAAAUCCUCGUUAAUAUAAUUUUUUAUAUGGCUUUCCCCGGUGGAAUACCCUUCGUAUAUUUUACAAACUUUUGCACCCGAUCGAACAGGAGAAUCAGCUUAUUUUUAAAUGGACAUUCAGACUUUAUUAUAUAUUGGUAUACCCGAUCGUUUUGUAAAUGUUCGAAUCGCGACAAAAUUUCUACCAAAAUACAUAUAAAAAAUGGUUUGGAAAUCGGCCACAAAUCGGAGCGUCGCAAUAUAACAAAGAAUUCCGCCACCCUGGAAUCGCUGGUAUAUAAUCUCCUACGCAGGUUGGUGUUCCUAUACGGGUGGCACGUUUUGGACCCAUUUGGAUGGAUCUUACCAAAUAAAACAUAUAAAAAACCUGCCAUUUCGUAAGCAGGUUUCCGCUAUUAUAGGUUUUCUUCGGUUUUUUCGAACGCGCCUCGUAUUUUCUCUAGUUUUUGGAAAACCAGGCCAUUUAAUGCAACUGCUAACGAUUAAAAAUCGCUUUAAUUGUUUAAACGUAAAUAUUACCUGUAAGGGUUUCUGGCAGAACUGACAGCAUUUCGUGCUUUCUCCAAAUAGGGACGGAAUUUGGCUUCAGCUGUUUCGCGGCCCUAAUAAUUGCGUUGGAAAGGUUUGAUAAUUCGAACAAAUAUAUUGCCAAUAAUAUAUAACCAAAAUCUUCCGGCGUGGAAAACUUUUGGUUUUCGUUGCACCAAUAUUCGAUCCAAGGUUUUAGGGUUUUAUUGCAAUGGUAUUUAUCGCUUUGGAUUACUAUUACCGCAAUUAUUUUUGGUUCGAUUAACAUUGCGAUCUCCCCCGCCUAAUGGUGGAGGAUGCGUAAAAGUAAUUCCAUCGUUUAAACGUCGCGUUUUUCCAAAUUAAUUACUGGGCGGUCUCCUCGCCUCACCCGAAUCCCCUUUUGGAAAUUCGAAUUAAAUAUAACUAAAAAAACCGGUAAGGUUAGGGUAAAUAUUCUGGAACAGGCCAAUAAUUUUAUUUUUGCGUCGCAUAGUGGGUUAUAAACGGAAAAAAUAACGUCUCCCUUUAAAUCUAAUAUUUCAAAACGAUAUUUAAUGCCGUCAACUUCAACUUCACUGGCUGGUUCUGAACAUAUUUUGAACCAGAAUAGAAAAUAAAUAUGGGAUAUAUAAUCGAUAAUGUUUCGAAAUUUUUUUAUAAAGGAAAAUACUAAUAUAUAACGGGUAUAUCGACCUCGAAUUUUUAUAUAAUUGUUAAUAGCGAUGGAUUUCCUGAAAACAAAACUUUAUAUUGGUUUGGUAAAAAAUAGAAAAGUUCCUAAUUGUUGGCAGUUGUUUGCGGCAAUAAUAUUUGCGACCUAAAUAAUAUAAUAUAUUUCGGUUAAUACGGCUGCAAAAUUUUAUUUUCGUUCUAUAAUAAUAAACUAUAAUAUAAAAUAAAUCCACCAUUUUUUAAAUUAAUUUUAAUUUCGAUUUUUUUUGUUUACCUUAAUUACAAAUACUGCCGGUUUUAUAUACGCCGAAAUUUAGUGUCGAACUUUCGCAAUUGCUAUAUAUAUGCGAGCACGUAAAGGUACGGCCAUUAUAUCUUAACCCGACAAAAUAUAAUUUAACCAGCAUUAAUUUGGGUAUUUUUUUAUUUGCCGUUAAUCCGACGAACCGGUGGCUGCAUCCAUUUUGUCCAAAAAAAUAUAUCUGUUUACGUAUUUAACAUAUAAUUUUAAAAUGUUAGCAGUUUGCAUUAUUUCCACGGAUUUGUCUAGGGACGACGUAUUUAGGUUAUAUAUUAAUUGGUAACAGUCCCAAACUGGAUCGGAGAAACAGAAAAAACAUUACGGGACUGUUGGCGCACGAAUAUAAUAUAGAUAUAUUUGCGGCCAAACCAGGAAAAAAUAACCUAAUAUAUGCGCCUCGCUUUAAACCGACAGUUUUGGUUUUUAAAUUUUUUUCCUAAAUACCUGUUAUUCCCCUUUUAGCAAAUUUACCAAUAUCCACACGUAAUAAAAUAUAAUUAUAACUGUAAUUCUUUUUUUACCACCUAAAACUUUAAUAAAAAACCGGUCAAUUUUUAAUUUUGUACGCCAACCUGCUUAAAUAUUCUGGUUUAAUUAACCGUCCGACAAUAUAUAGUUCGACAAAUAAAAAUAUUAUUUCCAGGUCGUAUUUCGAAUUUCGUAUUAACGUAUUUCAUAUCCAUCUCUUGGUUAAGGAUUUUAUUUUUUCGUUUAGCAGGGUUGCGGAUUCGUGUUUAUUGCAUAUAUUUCUGGAUUAUUAACAAGCGGGGCAGGAAAUUUAACCUGUACGAUAACGUUGGGUACCCCCUAACCGCACCCCCAAAAAUUUAACAAAAACGGAUAUAUUAUUUUCGCGAAAGCGAAACGUUAUUAUUUUGCGCGAACGUUUUUUAUUUAUGCAAUAAUAAAGUUUGUCGGAAUUUUUCUAAUAUUAUCGCUGGAGGACGUCCACCUGCCGGAUUUCUUAUAUACGCGGGGCGUAAAUUCGUCAUUGGAAAACUUGUUAAUGGAAGGUUAUAUAGCAAAUAAAAACGAUAAAGGUAGGAAAUAUCGUAUGCACAAAGACCUAACCGCAUAUAUACCUUACCGUAUUUGGUAAUAACGCGGGUAAAGGGAAAUUAAUGCAAUAAAACAAACCCCUCUUUUGGUUUUUUUUAGCAUUUAACGUCCAAAAUCCAAUUGGUUGGUACGGUAUAUUGUUAAUUUUUCUAUUUGGUAUUGUCGAUACCAAUACCUAUUACCAAUAUAAAUA
Molecule: small RNA, 3687 nt
Filed under: Pyricularia oryzae
Lineage: Eukaryota; Fungi; Ascomycota; Sordariomycetes; Magnaporthales; Pyriculariaceae
Description: Magnaporthe oryzae sRNA M_BR32_EuGene_00136641
Source: RNAcentral